This 204-nucleotide long non-coding RNA is filed under the name Elaeis guineensis (African oil palm). RNAcentral's name for it is "long non-coding RNA (EGUI_LNC063297)". The record is from RNAcentral. Lineage: Eukaryota; Viridiplantae; Streptophyta; Magnoliopsida; Arecales; Arecaceae.
UCUAAAUUGAGUAACUUAUGGAUUUCACUUCUCAUGAUAAGAGAUCACGAAGUCUGCAAUAAUCUUGAAGUUGGAACAUUCAUUUCGAUGAUGUGAUCAAAUUGUUUAAUCAGAAAUGAAGAAUUAUGUAUUUUUAAAGGAUCAGUGGGAGUAUCCAACACUGACAUCGAUUAAAAUAUAGUUGUAUAUUGAAUUCUCUAUGAA